This 164-nucleotide small RNA is filed under the name Chrysemys picta bellii (western painted turtle). RNAcentral's name for it is "TUC338 (ENSCPBG00000006705.1)". The record is from RNAcentral. Lineage: Eukaryota; Metazoa; Chordata; Testudines; Emydidae.
AUGCUAGUGAUUAAAAGCUUCUAUCCAUAGAGCAGGCACAGCACAGGCAUGAGCAAUGAAAACUUCCCCACAUUGCCCUGAUGAUGCGUCCCAACCACUUAGGACCAAGUGCUUUUCUCCGAGUUCUAAAAGUUUUUUUUGAAAACUAGCCAACCCACAAAAAU